This 273-nucleotide long non-coding RNA is filed under the name Volvox carteri. RNAcentral describes it as "long non-coding RNA (VCAR_LNC001720)". The record is from RNAcentral. Lineage: Eukaryota; Viridiplantae; Chlorophyta; Chlorophyceae; Chlamydomonadales; Volvocaceae.
UCGGAGGGCUUGGCCUUGUCGCACGACGUGCGGGGCGGCAGGACCGGCAAGCCCGCAGCAUUGCGAGGGGGCAAAGCGUACGCGAGCAGCGUGGUGCCCUUUUUCAUAUGCUGCUGCUGGUCCUUAAGAGCAGGUGGUGUUGCAGUAUCAACGCCGCCAUACGCGCCGGUGCCGGGGGUCGUGCCCGCGUCAGCCAUGGUUCAAAUUGGAAAGGCGAUAGUCGCCAAGUCGGCUGUACAAGCGCCAAACUGAUGUCAAAAAUAUGUAAAUAAG